RNAcentral lists this ribosomal RNA (862 nucleotides) under Platypleura hilpa. Its description in RNAcentral is "SSU rRNA". It matches the Rfam family "Eukaryotic small subunit ribosomal RNA", at positions 45 to 807 of the family's 1831-position model. Lineage: Eukaryota; Metazoa; Arthropoda; Insecta; Hemiptera; Cicadidae. The record is from RNAcentral.
UUAGCCAUGCAUGUCUCAGUACAUGCCGCACUAAGGUGAAACCGCAAAAGGCUCAUUAAAUCAGUUAUGGUUCCUUGGAUCUUAAACAGUUACUUGGAUAACUGUGGUAAUUCUAGAGCUAAUACAUGCAAACAAGUCCCGACCAGAGAUGGGAGGGACGCUUUUAUUAGAUCAAAACCGAUCGGCGUCCGGCUCCGGCCGGCGCCGUCUCUUUUGGUGACUCUGGAUAACUUUUAGCCGAUCGCACGGUCACAGUACCGGCGACGCAUCUUUCAAAUGUCUGACUUAUCAACUGUCGAUGGUAGGCUCUGCGCCUACCAUGGUUGUAACGGGUAACGGGGAAUCAGGGUUCGAUUCCGGAGAGGGAGCCUGAGAAACGGCUACCACAUCCAAGGAAGGCAGCAGGCGCGCAAAUUACCCACUCCCGGCACGGGGAGGUAGUGACGAAAAAUAACGAUACGGGACUCAUCCGAGGCCCCGUAAUCGGAAUGAGUACACUUUAAAUACUUUAACGAGUACCAAUUGGAGGGCAAGUCUGGUGCCAGCAGCCGCGGUAAUUCCAGCUCCAAUAGCGUAUAUUAAAGUUGUUGCGGUUAAAAAGCUCGUAGUUGGAUCUGUGUGCCACGCUGUCGGUUCACCGCCCGUCGGUGUCAACUGGCAUGUCUGUGGGACGUCCUGCCGGUGGCGGUACGGGCUGCCGGCGCUGCGUAGGGGCACAACCCCGAAGCACGCCGGCGUGUCCCGGUCCGCCGAUCCAAUCCCGCCGCGGUGCUCUUCACUGAGUGUCGAGGUGGGCCGGCACGUUUACUUUGAACAAAUUAGAGUGCUCAAAUCAGGUCGUAUUUAGGCCUGAAUACUGUGU